RNAcentral lists this non-coding RNA (52 nucleotides) under unclassified sequences. RNAcentral describes it as "S4-Clostridia ribosomal protein leader". It matches the Rfam family "S4-Clostridia ribosomal protein leader". The record is from RNAcentral.
GAAAGACCGGAGUUUUCCGGUUGGGUUUUAUUCAAAACCCCAAUCAACUAGU